Molecule: long non-coding RNA, 582 nt
Filed under: Equus caballus (horse)
Lineage: Eukaryota; Metazoa; Chordata; Mammalia; Perissodactyla; Equidae
Description: lncRNA (ENSECAG00000040339.3)
Source: RNAcentral
GGGAUUCUGAUGCAAGUGAUCUUGCUACUCUAAGCAACAACUCUCCACUGAAAGCUGACUCAAGCAUCUGUAAUACCUUCCAGGGUUUUCCUGAAUACAAAUAUAUAGAAGAUUCAUACAUUGGGUCCUCACUGAGAUGCCUUUGGGAACUCUUAGACAACUCAAGUUCCCUCUCUCAGAAAAGUCUGAAGGCAGCCCAGGCCCUCUGACCCGCGGAGCAGUCUCGGCCAGUGACCAGCAUGGCUCUCACCAGCCUCGGCUCCUAAUCCCUGGAUGAGACGAGCUGACAGCUUAACGGGGAAACUGGACCAAGUUGUGGACACACAGAGCUCUUGAUAGAAGCACCUUUGUCGCUCCCACACACACGCUUCCUCCUCCACUCCUCACUCCCACCCCACCUGUGAGCUUCUUCCUCUUCUCCUACCUGCCUUUCUCCAAACGCAGCCUGAGGGCUGGAUCCCUGGCUUUGAUAUCAGGGACGAUGCUGCUCAUAAUACAGAUGUCAUCAGGUGACAGAAUUCAGGGAGAGAAUGGCAUGUUUGACAUCCGUGAAUUCCUGACAGCCACACACAAGGACCGAAC